Capsicum annuum is the source of this 9027-nucleotide long non-coding RNA. RefSeq lists it as uncharacterized. The transcript is spliced from 3 exons. Lineage: Eukaryota; Viridiplantae; Streptophyta; Magnoliopsida; Solanales; Solanaceae. The record is from RefSeq and is a predicted model, not a curated record.
AACGAACGCGACCAAUAUACCUGUAAUGCAUCGUCAAUCAUGGACCACUUCAGUAUGAUAGACCCCUACCUUAUUUGGUUCAGACACAUUACUCGUCUUCUUAUUGGUAAUCCUACUCCCCGUUCUGAAUGCCAACAAGGUUAUGUGCCUAAUUCAACGGCAUAUGAAACAAUGGCGCGUCAUAUUCAUUCAAUGGUUGAUGAAGCUAAAUCACUUGGAGAUACGCCAUCAUAUUAGGACUUAUACAUGUUUAGAAAGAUGGUGCGGGAUCAAGGUUCUGAUUGUUUGAGAUAUGUCCACGGGGUUGACAGGAUUCAUGUAUCAGCUGAUUAUAGAAGAGAUGAGGUACAACCUGAUACGUUACGCCCCUUAUUCGUAAGCGAGGAAAAGGUGGUGUUGCUGGAAGAAGGGAGCGUCCUAUUGCGAGAGACCAUAUGCCUGUUGAAAUGAAUGAAAUGGAUCAGGCGACGUAAAAUGCCCAAACAACUUUAAAAGUUGAUUAAGCAACGACUAAUUAUGAUUUUGGUUACACUUCAAGGGGUAGCACUCAGGCAUCAGGUAUGACAUAUCAACAUACAGAGAUUGUGCCAUACAUGACGCCCCAGACUUCACAAAUAUCAAGAUAUUCAAGUCUUUCAUCAGUUGAGAAUAUCUUUGGUAGUUAUCGGCCUCAACCUUUUGAGAAUGUCCCAAACUUUACCUCAUCGCCUGUGCCAAUGUCUAUUGAUAUCCAUGAUGCCAUUAAUAAUUUGAAAAACUUAAACACCGCGAUGGAAGAUAAUGAGUUGGAUGAUGCCAACAAUGAAGUGAACGGUAAUGAUCCGGAGGAUGCAAGUAAAGGUUGUGAUAUAACUAUUAAGCAUGGUGAACCAUCAGAGAAAUAGAAGCUUACAAUUAUUGCUAAGCUUUGUGGGACUGGUAUUUUAUCAUGUUUAUGUUAUUUAUUUUUUACUUAACUGCACCUUUUUUUAGUUGUACAGCUGAAAAUCUACCUUUGCUUGAUAGGGAGUCACUAUGCUUACCAGCACGCCGAAAAGAAAAAAGCAAAAGAGUAAAUGAUGGACAACAUGUAUAGCUAACUAUCAGUAAGAAAAGGUAAUUUUCUUACUAAACUGUUCUGAAGUGGUUAAUGAGCUUCAUAGUAAAUGUUGCCCAAAACUUUUUUCCUUUAAUUCAAGUUCUAGUGAUAAGUUGAAUUACUGUUGUAGUGUUAGUGGUUCUCCUGUAAUAUCUCCAUUGCUGCAACUUGAGGAUGAAAGUUACAGUAUUUACUUUUGGUUAUAUGUUUUUGUAAGAGAAUAUAUGUUAGGUGCACUAACAGUAUAACAUACUUUAAUAUAUUAUGAACCUUUGGUUUUUGUCCUGCUUUCAUGGUAGAGGUGUCUAUUAUGUAUUUUCUGUGCUACUAUAGUAGGUCAAUUAUUUCUGUGGUUCUCUUUUGUGAUGGUAUUUGAGGAAAUUCACUUCGAUUUCUUUAUCAAUAGAUGACAACACCGAAAGUACAAGGUAGUAUUUUCUCAGUUGUCCAAGUUUUGGUGGACAAGCUCUUGCAUUGGUGGGAUGAUGUGUAGAUAGCAAAUAUUUUGUUGUAUUAGUCAAGAUGUGUGCAAACUAACUCGAACACCAUAUUUGUUUGAAAAGAACAAUCUCUGCAAACUCACGUCCUCUAUAAUACUGAAGACUGAAGUAUGGUGGGUACAGAUUUUGUUGUUCAAAGUACCAUUCUAUUAACUAUCAGAUUGGUAAAGCAAGCACUUAGUAUAUCUGCUAAUGUAAUGGUUAGUCUCUCAAAUAGUUUUUCAUCAAUCAAAUCACUGUGUCCUUCACUAUUCAGCAGGAUAGCCUUACCAAUUUUAUACAUUGAGUUGGCAGCUAUUAUUCUGACCGGCCAGUUGAGAGGGUUGUCAAGCAUUCUUCCAUCAGUGGUUUGUUAGAAAUCCAUCACCUUCAUUGAAGCUAUUCCUGUAAGCAUCUCAAGUGUUUCCCUGGAAGUUUUUCCUUCGAGGGUCGGUUUCUGCAAGUCCUCAUCCAACCAUAUUUGAUGAAUCUCCAGUUCUUCCCACACUAAAUGUGCUGCAUUUCUAAUGUUUGUGAGAUCACCUUCAGAGUACAUGGUUUCUUCUACGAAGCUGGCAAAUGCAAGGCCUUCAUGGACACUCCUUAUCAACUGAUAGUCCAUCUGAUCUCUCACUUUGGGAAGUGCAAUAGCAAUGCUAGUGAGUGUCACCAGGCUUAUGGUCCAGCAGUUAAGAAGGCUCUACUGAAUGCAGUGGGUGGAACUGAGUCAUAGUAAAUAUCUGCUACCCCAGAAAAGCUGCUAGAUUUUCUCAGUAAAUUAACCAGAUGUUUUAGUUGCCAUUUCCUUCCUGCGUCUAUUAGUCGGUUUGCAGUACCAGAUAUGUUACUCUAACAAACAGAAUGGGAUCUCUGAUAGUUAACAGAAUGGUACUUUGAAAGGCAAAAAUCUGUACCCACCAUGCUUCACAGUCUUCGGUAUUAUAGAGGACAUGAAUUUCCAGAGAUUGUUCUUUUCAAACAAAUACACAUCUUGACUAAUACAACAAAAUAUCUGCUAUCUACACAUCAUCCCACCAAUGCAAGAGCUUGUCCACCAAAACUUGGACAACUGAGAAAAUACUACCUUGUGCUUUCGGUGUUGUCAUCUAUUUAUAAAGAAAUCGAAGUGAAUUUCCUCAAAUACCAUCACAAAAGAGAACCACAGAAAUAAUUGACCUACUAUAGUAGCACAGAAAAUACAUAAUAGACACCUCUACCAUGAAAGCAGGACAAAAAUCAAAGUUUCAUAAUAUAAAAUUAAAGUACGUUAUACUGUUAGUGCACCUAACAUAUACUCUCUUACAAAAACAUAUAACCAAAAGUAGAUACUCUAACUUUCAUUCUCAAGUUGCAGCAAAUGGAGAUGUUACAGGAGAACCACUAACACUACAAUAGUACUUCAACUUAUCACUAGAACUUGAAUUAAAGGAAAAAAGUUUUGGGCAACAUUUACUAUGAAGCUCAUUAACCACUUCAGAACAGUUUAGUAAAAAAAUUACCUUUUCUUACUGAUAGUUAGCUAUACAUGUUGUCCAUCAUUUACUCUUUUGCUUUUUUCUUUUCGGCGUGCUGGUAAGCAUAGUGACUCCCUAUCAAGCAAAGGUAGAUUUUCAGCUGUACAACUAAAAAAAGGUGCAGUGAAGUAAAAAAUAAAUAACAUAAAUAACAUAAACAUGAUAAAAUACCAGUCCCACAAAGCUUAGCAAUAAUUGUAAGCUUCUCUUUCUCUGAUGGUUCACCAUGCUUAAUAGUUAUAUCACAACCUUUACUUGCAUCCUCCAGAUCAUUACCGUUCACUUCAUUGUUGGCAUCAUCCAACUCAUUAUCUUCCAUCGCGGUGUUUAAGUUUUUCAAAUUAUUAAUGGCAUCAUGGAUAUCAAUAGACAUUGGCACAGGCGAUGAGGUAAAGUUUGCGGCAUUCUCAAAAGGUUGAGGCCGAUAACUUCCAAAGAUAUUCUCAAGUGAUGAAAGACUUGAAUAUCUUGAUAUUUGUGGCGUCAUGUAUGUCACAAUCUCUGUAUGUUGAUAUGUCAUACCUGAUGCCUGAGUGCAAGCACUUGAAGUGGAACCAAAAUCAUAAUUAGUCGUUGCUUGAUCAACUUCUAAAGUUGUUUGGGCAUUUUACGUCGUCUAAUCCAUUUCAACAGGCACAUGGUCUCUCGCAAUAGCACGCUCCCUUCUUCCAGCAACACUACCUUUUCCUCGCUUAUGAAUAGGGGGCGUAACUGAUCAAGUUGUACCUCAUCUCUUCUAUAAUCAGCUGAUACAUGAAUCCUGGCGGCUUCGUGGACAUAUCUCAAACAAUCAGAACCUUGAUCCCGCACCAUCUUUCUAAACAUGUAUAAGUCCUAAUAUGAUGGCGUAUCUCCAAGUGAUUUAGCUUCAUCAAACAUUGAAUGAAUAUGACGUGCCUGUGAAAUUAAAGUAAAAGUCAUUUAACCGUACAAGCAUCAAAAAGACUAAAGAAAAGCUAAUUUCCUAGUCUGGAGUUUCUGAUUAUUAUUAACAUAUAUUAGAUAAACAAAAAUCAUACAUGCAAAGUUCUACUUACCAUUAUUUCAUAUGUCGUUGAAUUAGGCACAUAACCUUGUUGGCAUUGAGAACGGGGAGUAGGAUUUUCAAUGAGAAGACGAGUAAUGUGUCUGAAACAAAUAAGGUAGGGGUGUAUCAUACCGAAGUGGUCCAUGAUUGACGGUGCAUUAUAGAUAUACUAGCCGCGUUCGUUCCAAAAAGGUAAUUAUUGUGCAUGUUCUAACUCUUAGUUUGUAUUUGGCUUCCCCGACGAUCAUGAUGAAAAUGGGUGGAAACAAAUAGAAAUGGAGUUGGAAUCACCUGUUGCUAUCCAAAUUGCCUCGUUACUCUAUCAGACAAAUGAACCUCUGCCAUAUCCCAACAAAAAAAUGGAACUCUUAACACGUCACAUGUGUCGUCCAGCGCGACAAUAGUCAGGAAUACUCUCAAUUAAGUCAUCAAGAUAUGGUUCCCAAAUAAACGACAUGAAAAAGGAAAAAGCAAAUGAUUCUUUACCUGUACAAUCCACAUAAAAUAAAAAAAAAUUAUACACAUUCUACCUGAUCUUCUGUCAUAGAGUCAAGUGCAUCCCUACAAACUUUCAGCACAUGCUUAGUAGUAUUAGUCCAACUAAAGUGUACAAACCAUCUAGUAGCAUGUGGAUCCCUAGGCAAACCAAUGGGGAAAAUAUUUCUUGUGCCUCUAUGGCCUAAGGACAGUUAUCCUUUCACAUGCCCAAACCUGAUAUAUAUAUAUAUUGUAUAUAAACUAAAAGAAAUAUCAAUAAAUAAUUUGUGCAGUUAUUAAAUAUACCUGGAGUAGUGGUAGGAAUAUGGCUAUCUCAUUUUUUGUACUCUGUGAGGCUUUACAAAAAAACGAUACAGGUAUGCUAAAGUUGCACUACCCCAACUAUAAGACCCAAUUGCAUUGAUGUCCUCGAGCAUAGGCAGAUACGUAAGUUUCAAAUAACCACUAGAUGUAUUCGUCAUCAUCAUACCCGCAAUUAUCCAGAACAUGUAACACCUAGCCUUUUGAUUGAUUAUUUCUUAUGUUGCCUUGUCCGGCAAUUGUGGCUGGCCUAACAUGUGCGCAUUAAGCGCAACGACCUUAAGGGAACUAUUUUUGAAGUCUUGGAGAGAUAGAACAAAACCUAAUAAUCUCUGACAAAUGUUUUGCCAAUCCCCUGUGGUCCUCGUCGUCUCAUUACCAAGUACCGGAUCACCAUUCACGGGUAAUCCAUACAACACCUCUACGUCCUGCAAGGUGAUAGUUGCUUCACCUGUUAUAAAGUGGAAAGUAUGAGUUUUGGGACGCCAGCGCUCAACUAGUGAAGUGAUCAAACUACGGUCGAUAGUAGGCCUAUUAGAUCUAUAAACACCAGAUAAUUUAAUCACUUCUAAAACUCGUACCACCCAUAAAAAAAGUACCUGUACAUAAGUGAAUAUUUUCAUUAUAAUAAACAAAUUAACCAGCCAUAAAAGAAAAAAAAAUGUUCUCUUAAAUAUGACCAAAGUCUACAAAUAAUUCUCUCCUUUAAGAAAUAUCCCAAAAUUGAAAAGAAAUUUGAUUCCAUCUGUUCCAAAAUCGUAAUUUAGAGCACAGUUGAAUAAAAUUUGAGAAAUACAAAAAUUUUAAAUAGAGAGUCAAGUUGAGUUUAAGAAAAUAGAGAGUAAAUUCGUACCAAAAACAAUACUAAAGAAGCACUCUUUCUAUCGGCGCUUGAGGCUAGGAUUUCGCAAUCUGAAAGACAGAUGAACGCACAAUUACUUAGAUGGAUAGGAUUGCAUUGACAAUUGAAUCAACCAUAGGUGAUUGCAAUUACUUUGGGCCUAGGACUUAUUUGCAUGCACAUAUUAUAUAAGUGCAUUUAGUGGGUUGUUUUGUAUAUUCAGAAAUUACGUGUCUCCAUAUUGUACUCCUCUCCUUUCAUUGUGGUUUGCUUUAUUUCUGUCCGAUAUAUAACACAAUUAAGUUCAUCUCAGAAAACAUAAGAAACUGUAAAGACAUUAUACUUAAACAAACGCUUAAACUUGGCCUCAAGGGGCAAGUAAGCACUCCAACUUUGAGUGAGCAUAUAUGAUCAUCUACGCACCUCCAAAUUUUAUGUGCCACGUCAGCAUUGGGUGUCCACAAGACACAUCGGACGAGCUUGAGGUUUAGUUGCCAGUGGAGAUCAAGUUGAGAUAUCUAGAUGUGCACUCUCAAAGUUGGGGGUGCUUACUUGUCUCUGUUUCUGUAAAGAGGGGUUCAUCUAGUGUUUGGGGGUGCUUACUUGUCUCUGUUUCUGUAAAGAGGGGUUCAUCUAGUGUUGGAAGCCCGCUCAUGACGUGGACUUUGAUUCUAUUUUUAAAAGGUAUGCUAGCUCAGAGCGAUUUUUCACUAUUGGAAGGAAUGACAGGAACAAGGUUUGUCGGCUGGAGUGUAAGCUUCCACUGAUCAAUAUAAGCUGAUUGAUCACUAUUUAUAUUUGGAAGUUCAUGGUGUUGAAUUACGUUCAAGAUAUCUUCGGUCUUACCAACUAAUAAAGCUGCUCUGUGUACACUUUUUUCCCUCUCUUCAAUGACACCAGAGUUACAAGCCAUAGUUAUAGCUCGAGGCAGAUUGGUAAAGCAAGCACUUAGUAUAUCUGCUAUUAUUAUGGAUAGUCUCUCGAAUAGUUUUUCAUCAACCAAGUCAUUGUGUCCUUCACUAUUCAGCAGGAUAGCCUUCCCAAUUUUGUACAUUGAGUUGGCAGCUAUUAUUCUGACCGGCCAGUUGAGAGGAUUGUCGAGCAUUCCUCCAUCAGUGGUUUGUUUGAAAUCCAUCACCUUCUUUGAAGCUAUUCCUGUAAGCAUCUCAAGUGUUUCCCUAGAAGUUUUUCCUUCGAGGGUCGGUUUCUGCAAGUCCUCAUCCAACCAUUUUUGAUGGAUCUCCAGUUCUUCCCACACUAAAUGUGCUGCAUUUCUAAUGUUUGUGAGAUCACCUUCAGAGUACAUGGUUUCCUCUACGAAGCUGGCAAACGCAAGGCCUUCAUGGACACUCCUUAUCAGCUGAUAGUCCAUCUGAUCUCUCACUUUGGGAAGUGCAACAACAAUACUAGUGAGUGUCACCAGGCUUAUGGUCCAGCAGUUAGAAGGUUCUACUGAAUGCAGUGGUGGAACUUGGUCAUAGUAAAUAUCUGCUACCCCAGAAAAGCUGCUAGAUUUUCUCAGCAAAUUAACCAGAUGUUUUGGCUGCCGUUUCCUUCCUGUGUCUACUAGUCGGUUUGCAGUACCAGAUAUGUUCGUAAAAAUUCUUUCAGGCAAUUCUUCUUCGCCUUCUAGUAACAAAACAUACCGGUGAAAUUCAAAGUCUCUCCUGUGUUCUGGGUCUGAUUGAUGGUAGUUUGGACCCUUAAGUUGACACAAGAACAUCAAGUUGAAGGAAACAACCGAGACAAACCGCACAAAUUUGCUCGUUGACACAAUCAAAAUCUGAGUUCUUAUGCAGAAGGCAAGAAUUAAGUUUCUUGUACCCUGGAGAUAUUUUCUAAAUUUUGUUCCCCUAAUGUUUAAAGACAAUGGUCUCUCCUUCCACUCAACCAGCUUGCGGAUCCAGUAGUAUUCGACUCUGGAGCAAUUCGCAUUAUCAUUGCCAAUUUUGUUGGAACGCUUAAAGCUUAUAAAGAUAAACCAUCUGAGUGCUGGAGCAACAGUACCCACGACCACUCCAAUAGACUGAGCAAUAAGAAUCAAACCUGUUGACCAUUUGUAUGUUGAACUAUUCGGGAAAUAUGGAGGUGAAUUAUAUAUUCUUAUAAGAGCUUCCAUCAAAAUUAGAGAUGCCAACACACAGAUUGUUCCUGAAGUUGAAAAGGUUACAGAACGUGCCAUCACGAAUUGAGGGUUACUAGUUUCGACCAUCAUCCAACACCUCUCUACAGUGUCUUUUAGUCUAUCGAUCGAUAACUUUCCGAAUGCUAAUGCAUCAUCCCUCAUGGUUGUUUGAUAUGCUUCUUUAUAGUUAAGUUCAAGAAUCUUUUUGGUAGUUGCAAGUGAUAAAGAGGAGAAACUCAAUACCAAUAUCAGAAGAAACAUGAGGAAUAUAGUUGCUAUAAAUUCUGCUUUCAGGUUAAAAAUCAAAUCAGUAUAUAUUUCAAUGCAGAGAUUGACAAUGAUCGUGAUUACCAGGAUGUCAAGAGCUACAACGUUCGACAAGAUCUCUUUGUUACUCAUGGCUCCUAUUGAUGGCAUGAAGUUACCUAUUACAACACAGAUGAAAACAGUGCUGGCUAGUUUGGAAAGCUGGUCAGUAUGACCAGGCAUCGGUUCAGAUAUAUCGACAGGCAACUUCAUUGCUACAGCUAACACUGUAAGAGAAGCGGCAUUCAAAGCAAAGAAUUUGCAAGGGAACCAAAGUCUUUUUAGCCGGAAGGCUUGGAAGGCAUCAGCAAGCAUUGCAAGAGUACAAAGUAGAGAUGCUGCUGCUACAUAUACGCCAAUUGUUGGCAUUGGCUUACUAAAUGAUUCGCUGUAGCAUCUUUUGUUGCAUGCAUCAGUGAUCAUAUGGCAAAAAUGAUUAUCACACGACGCCACAUUCAUGUUCACCACGACUCCAAUUUCACUUAUGAAUUAUGGAAUGAGUACCAAAAUUCAGGAGUAAGAUGAAAAGCUAUAACAAAAGGUUAUCUUGAUUCUUUUAGCCCUGUGAAACCAUGAUGGAAGGGUGACUCAUCUUUCAGUUGAAUUGAAUGACUGACAAUUUGCUACAAAGUGACAAUAGACUUUUCCAACAAGGGGUAUAUUCAGUGUAUUCUCUAUGGUUUUCUUCUGAUAAUUUAAACUACAUGAAAAUUAAAGACUAAACAUUUCAACAUCUGAUGUGACAUUCAUUGGGAAAAAAUCGUUAAUUUCCUGUGUUCGGUUACCAGAAAAUGUUUUUAAGCAUCAACAGAGGGAAAAUAACUUUCUUUACUUAUUGGCAAAAGUAAUUUUUUUCCAA